AUCAGACGGACUGAACAAAACUGAAACUGAAAUGCUUUUCGUUUACAAACAUUACUCUUCUCAGAAAGAAGAAUACAUGGAGUACAUGUGCAUGGUUGAAGUGCCUUUCAUUAAGGCAUUUAACCCACAUUGCUCCAAAUGUGACCUAUCACUUUGACAUGAUUUUAAAUGACAUGCUACAUUUUAGGAACUUUGACCAUGUGAUAUACUCCCAUCACUCUUCUUUUUCAUUAUUUGUUGAGUUGGCAUGUGGAAAUGCACACUGCUGUAAGUUCACAUUAGGCCUACCUGUCUUACAAUACAUGUAUACACAUCUUACUUUAUUUAUGCACUGUGGCUGCAUAUAAGCAUGCAGUGCACAUACUAUAUAUAUGUUCUUGUUUGUUGAUUUAACAAAUGCCCCAAAUCACAGAGUUUGGCAUCAUCUGAAGAUGCUAAGUGUUAUUGCAGUCGAUCAUGUGUUUUCAUGUCUUUUGUUUUAACCAAAUGUCUUUUUCCAGGCGAUUCUCAGGAGGAUAACCGUGUGAUUAAUGUAUAUGCAGAUCAUACAGUGUUUGCUGGGACGUUCUGUCUGGCGUCCACUGAUGCCUUUAAACCCAAACCCUUGAGAAAUGGACAUGAAACUCCUCUGCUGUCUUCACACGCCCACUCAGCAGCACUGAUAGCGCUCUGCAUUGUGAUGUAUCAGUGUCUUUCAAUGUACAGUUAUUGAACUUCUUUUAUUUCCACAAGACAUUGUUACAUUGUCACAUUGUUUUUAUCACUAGUUAAUUGCUUUUUGCCAGGUGGGCUUUUAUGAGGUGAUGCACACAGAAUAUCAAUAAAAAAACUUAAAUGAUGGAAAGAACUUUUAAACUGUUAAUAAUACAUAUGUUUUUGCUAAUAUUCUCUGCGUUUUUAGCUUUAGGACCAAUUAUACUCCACUCUAGACUCUCUCUCUAACAUAUAGGCCUUCAGGGGUGAGCU
Long non-coding RNA from Engraulis encrasicolus (European anchovy), 966 nucleotides. RefSeq lists it as uncharacterized. The record is from RefSeq and is a predicted model, not a curated record. The transcript is spliced from 3 exons. Lineage: Eukaryota; Metazoa; Chordata; Actinopteri; Clupeiformes; Engraulidae.